UACGUAGGGUGCGAGCGUUAAUCGGAAUUACUGGGCGUAAAGCGUGCGCAGGCGGUUUUGUAAGCCAGGUGUGAAAGCCCCGGGCUUAACCUGGGAAUUGCAUUUGAGACUGCAUAGCUAGGGGGCGGAAGAGGGAAGCGGAAUUUCCGGUGUAGCGGUGAAAUGCGUAGAUAUCGGAAGGAACACCAGUGGCGAAAGCGGCUUCCUGGUCCAGCACCGACGUUCAGGCACGAAAGCGUGGGGAGCAAACAGG
This 253-nucleotide ribosomal RNA is filed under the name uncultured bacterium. RNAcentral describes it as "partial 16S ribosomal RNA". It matches the Rfam family "Bacterial small subunit ribosomal RNA", at positions 524 to 776 of the family's 1533-position model. The record is from RNAcentral.